This 440-nucleotide ribosomal RNA is filed under the name uncultured bacterium. RNAcentral describes it as "bacterial SSU rRNA". It matches the Rfam family "Bacterial small subunit ribosomal RNA", at positions 338 to 795 of the family's 1533-position model. The record is from RNAcentral.
CCUACGGGGGGCAGCAGUGGGGAAUAUUGGACAAUGGGCGAAAGCCUGAUCCAGCAAUGCCGCGUGAGUGAUGAAGGCCUUAGGGUUGUAAAGCUCUUUUACCCGGGAUGAUAAUGACAGUACCGGGAGAAUAAGCCCCGGCUAACUCCGUGCCAGCAGCCGCGGUAAUACGGAGGGGGCUAGCGUUGUUCGGAAUUACUGGGCGUAAAGCGCACGUAGGCGGUUAUUCAAGUCAGAGGUGAAAGCCUGGAGCUCAACUCCAGAACUGCCUUUGAAACUAGAUAACUAGAAUCAUGGAGAGGUGAGUGGAAUUCCGAGUGUAGAGGUGAAAUUCGUAGAUAUUCGGAAGAACACCAGUGGCGAAGGCGGCUCACUGGACAUGUAUUGACGCUGAGGUGCGAAAGCGUGGGGAGCAAACAGGAUUAGAUACCCUAGUAGUC